Molecule: long non-coding RNA, 479 nt
Organism: Zalophus californianus (California sea lion)
Lineage: Eukaryota; Metazoa; Chordata; Mammalia; Carnivora; Otariidae
Exons: 4
Source: RefSeq, a predicted model, not a curated record
CUCAGAGUGACAGCAAUGGAAAGCCCCGCCCUGCCGGCUCCAUAGAACUGGCAAGGAGCCGUUGAAAAGCAUUAUUCAUUUUAUCUCUGUAUCAUGAAGUUCCAGGUCAUGGAUUCCAAUAAGUAUAGACUACAGGCUCUGUAGGAAUGCUGAGAAAACAGGCAUGCUCAGGAUCCAGUCCCUGUCCUUAAGGACUCACCAUCUAAUGAGGAAGAUAAAUGUAGAAAUUUGAGAGAUGGAAGAAAUAAUGACAAAGUGGAAAAUGAGACAAUCAGGCAAUGAGGACCGUGGUGUAUGGUUGUAAAGCCGCAAAGGAAACCGGUAAUGAACAACCAACGGACCACAAAGAAAUGAAGCUGAAGUCAUUGAAUUUUUGCUGAUCCUAAACCUUGUCUGCCAUUUAUACUUAUUUAUUUUUUAAAAGAUUUUAUUUAUUUAUUUGAGAGAGAGAGAAAGAGUAUGAGCUGGGGGAGGGACAG